Nicotiana tabacum (common tobacco) is the source of this 479-nucleotide non-coding RNA. NCBI's taxonomy places the organism in Eukaryota, Viridiplantae, Streptophyta, Magnoliopsida, Solanales, Solanaceae. The record is from RefSeq and is a predicted model, not a curated record.
GUGGAGUGGUUCAAAGCCUAACUUGACUGAAAUUUCACGAGGAAUCCAUGGGAGGCAUCAAAAGCGGGCUUCGAGAUCGUUCAGCACAAGAAACGAGGCAGAGCAGCUAGGUAGAAACAUAUAAUAUCAAUGGUUUGUUCAUUUGGUCAUAUUUUGAGUUGGGUAGCUCGGAUUUGGGAGAUUGGGAGGUGAUUUUUACCACAUGGAUUGGGUUUCGAGCCGUUUGGAGGUCGGUACACGCGGGAUGGUGUUUUUAGGGUAUUGUUUGGCUUGUCCGGCAUUGAAUUUGGCUUGUUUGAGAUCUUGAAGUUGUUGUUGAUGUACAUGGCGGGAGCUGACAUUGAAGAUGUAUCCGCGUUCCAGUUAUGACUAUCACUUGUCCUUGGUAGCUUUAGAUUCGAAUUCUGUUCACGUACAAUCCAAACAGAUGUUGUAAUUAUUUCAGUUCAAUUUUUGCAAAAUCUAAGUCUUAGUGGCUC